Mus musculus (house mouse) is the source of this 798-nucleotide long non-coding RNA. RefSeq annotates it as mistral long non-coding RNA. The record is from RefSeq and is marked provisional. NCBI's taxonomy places the organism in Eukaryota, Metazoa, Chordata, Mammalia, Rodentia, Muridae. The transcript has a single exon.
UGCCCCACCCCCAUCACACACCCGGCCAAUACCUGCAAACCAUGAUCAAUACUACCUACUACUAGCCCUAAACUACCUAUUGUGUGCUGGCUAGCUCACCUGCUUCUCGGUGCCCAUCCCUCCCAGGCUGGACCUUGAUGCUUCUAACUGAUAGUCUUUGGGGUCACCAAGGCUUCACUGACAAGGCAAUGAGGUUCAGGGACCAGGGUAUUGGCUUCUAUUUAAAUUGAAAAAUAAUAUAUUUAUUCCAAAGCAUACCAAGUGCUGUAACCUAGAAUCCCUCUUUCUCUGGCUUUGACACAAGGUCAGGGCCAUUAACCCUACUUCAGGAGGGGAGCAUUCCCGAGCUGGCUGCCAUCCUCUGGAAUAGCUCUGGGUUUUGUUUUUGUGGGACUAAGGAGAUGUUCCCAGACUCACUGUCCUCUCCCCCUUGCUUUUGUGUCCUACUGUUCAGCCAUGUCAAAUAUGUAUACCCUGACUUUUCCUACAAGGACAAAUACUGUAUAUUUGAACCAGAUUUUUUUUGUGUUGUUGUCAUUUCUAUAAUCUUGGAGCUCAUUUGUAAAGGAAUGUCUUGACUUUGGAAGGAUGUUUUAAUGGGGUGACUUUGUAGCAUGGUGUGUUGUAUUGAACUAAUUCUGUAGUGGGUGGGGGAAGUCCAGCACCCACCGGGGCCAUCAUCUCCCUUGUCUCCUCAUGUCCCGUCCCACCCCCCAGCCUGGGGUUCAGAGAAGGCACGCUUCCCAGCCCAGCUACCUGUGUUUUAUGUAACAAUAAAGAUGCUUGGUGACAAAGAAA